GUGCCAGCCGCCGCGGUAAUACGGGGGGGGCAAGCGUUGUUCGGAAUUACUGGGCGUAAAGGGCUCGUAGGUGGCCAACUAAGUCGGACGUGAAAUCCCUCGGCUUAACCGGGGAAUGGCAUCCGAUACUGGAUGGCUUGAGUUUGGGAGAGGGACGCGGAAUUCCAGGUGUAGCGGUGAAAUGCGUAGAUAUCUGGAGGAACACCGGUGGCGAAGGCGGCGUCCUGGACCAAUACUGACACUGAGGAGCGAAAGCCAGGGGAGCAAACGGGAUUAGAAACCCUCGUAGUCC
RNAcentral lists this ribosomal RNA (292 nucleotides) under uncultured bacterium. Its description in RNAcentral is "partial 16S ribosomal RNA". It matches the Rfam family "Bacterial small subunit ribosomal RNA", at positions 505 to 796 of the family's 1533-position model. The record is from RNAcentral.